CAGUCGCCGCGGUAAUACAGAGGGUGCAAGCGUUAAUCGGAAUUACUGGGCGUAAAGCGCACGCAGGCGGUCUGUCAAGUCAGAUGUGAAAUCCCCGGGCUUAACCUGGGAACUGCAUUUGAAACUGGCAGGCUAGAGUCUUGUAGAGGGGGGUAGAAUUCCAGGUGUAGCGGUGAAAUGCGUAGAGAUCUGGAGGAAUACCGAUGGCGAAGGCAGCCAUCUGGCCUAAUACUGACGCUGAGGUACGAAAGCAUGGGGAGCAAACAGGAUUAGAUACCCCGGUAGUCCCUGUCUCUUAUAC
RNAcentral lists this ribosomal RNA (301 nucleotides) under uncultured bacterium. Its description in RNAcentral is "partial 16S ribosomal RNA". It matches the Rfam family "Bacterial small subunit ribosomal RNA", at positions 509 to 807 of the family's 1533-position model. The record is from RNAcentral.